AACGAACGCUGGCGGCAGGCCUAACACAUGCAAGUCGAGCGGACCUUUCGGGGUCAGCGGCGGACGGGUGAGUAACGCGUGGGAAUAUGCCCUUCUCUACGGAAUAGUCCUGGGAAACUGGGGGUAAUACCGUAUACGCCCUUUGGGGGAAAGAUUUAUCGGGGAAGGAUUAGCCCGCGUUGGAUUAGGUAGUUGGUGGGGUAAUGGCCUACCAAGCCGACGAUCCAUAGCUGGUUUGAGAGGAUGAUCAGCCACACUGGGACUGAGACACGGCCCAGACUCCUACGGGAGGCAGCAGUGGGGAAUCUUAGACAAUGGGGGCAACCCUGGUCUAGCCAUGCCGCGUGAGUGAUGAAGGCCUUAGGGUUGUAAAGCUCUUUCAGCUGGGAAGAUAAUGACGGUACCAGCAGAAGAAGCCCCGGCUAACUCCGU
This 432-nucleotide ribosomal RNA is filed under the name uncultured bacterium. RNAcentral describes it as "partial 16S ribosomal RNA". It matches the Rfam family "Bacterial small subunit ribosomal RNA", at positions 29 to 506 of the family's 1533-position model. The record is from RNAcentral.